RNAcentral lists this ribosomal RNA (305 nucleotides) under uncultured bacterium. RNAcentral's name for it is "bacterial SSU rRNA". It matches the Rfam family "Bacterial small subunit ribosomal RNA", at positions 337 to 656 of the family's 1533-position model. The record is from RNAcentral.
CCCUACGGGGGGCAGCAGUGGGGAAUAUUGGGCAAUGGGCGCAAGCCUGACCCAGCAACGCCGCGUGAAGGAAGAAGGCUUUCGGGUUGUAAACUUCUUUUAUUCGGGACGAAGAAAGUGACGGUACCGAAUGAAUAAGCCACGGCUAACUACGUGCCAGCAGCCGCGGUAAUACGUAGGUGGCAAGCGUUAUCCGGAUUUAUUGGGUGUAAAGGGCGUGUAGGCGGGAAUGCAAGUCAGAUGUGAAAACCAUGGGCUCAACCUGUGGCCUGCAUUUGAAACUGUUUUUCUUGAGUACUGGAGAG